This 315-nucleotide ribosomal RNA is filed under the name uncultured Lactococcus sp. RNAcentral describes it as "bacterial SSU rRNA". It matches the Rfam family "Bacterial small subunit ribosomal RNA", at positions 505 to 821 of the family's 1533-position model. Lineage: Bacteria; Bacillati; Bacillota; Bacilli; Lactobacillales; Streptococcaceae. The record is from RNAcentral.
GUGCCAGCAGCUGCGGUAAUACGUAGGUCCCAAGCGUUGUCCGGAUUUAUUGGGCGUAAAGCGAGCGCAGGUGGUUUCUUAAGUCUGAUGUAAAAGGCAGUGGCUCAACCAUUGUGUGCAUUGGAAACUGGGAGACUUGAGUGCAGGAGAGGAGAGUGGAAUUCCAUGUGUAGCGGUGAAAUGCGUAGAUAUAUGGAGGAACACCGGGAGGCGAAAGCGGCUCUCUGGCCUGUAACUGACACUGAGGCUCGAAGCGUGGGAGCAAACAGGAUUAGAUACCCUGGUAGUCCACGCCGUAAACGAUGAGUGCUAGCU